Molecule: transfer RNA, 70 nt
Filed under: Fulica atra (Eurasian coot)
Lineage: Eukaryota; Metazoa; Chordata; Aves; Gruiformes; Rallidae
Description: tRNA-Val
Source: RNAcentral
CAAGGCGUAGCUAUAAUUCAAAGCAUUCAGCUUACACCUGAAAGAUGCCUGCCCAUACAGGCCGCCUUGA